Molecule: long non-coding RNA, 6882 nt
Organism: Ailuropoda melanoleuca (giant panda)
Lineage: Eukaryota; Metazoa; Chordata; Mammalia; Carnivora; Ursidae
Exons: 5
Source: RefSeq, a predicted model, not a curated record
UGCCCGGCCCCCACAGCGUCCAGACGGCCCCCAGAGCAACCUGCCCCGUGCCGGCUGAGUUAAACUAAACCCCCAGCGUCCUCUAUGGUUUCGUGCCCCGGAAGUUGGGCCUCCACAUCGGGGGACCUGGGGGCCUGGUCGGAAGCUACUUCUGGAAGGAUCCGGGCACAGGGGAAGGAACGUCCUCCCACCCCAGGCGGGCCUGUGGGGCUCUAGGGCAGGAGGCAGAGCGGCCUUGGGUUUCAUAGUAGGUAACGGAUGAAACCGGAGACGCCGAGGCUCACUGGAGACAACGCAGCAUCAAGAGUUCACAGUGGGAAACAGACACCUGAUCUCCCGUCGCGUCGCGGGCAGCGGCUCCCGUGGCCUGAGGGCCACCUGCCUGGGCCCAGAGCAGCGCCCGGCCCCCCUCUUGGUCUGAGUGCGCCUGCAGGUGAGCGAUGCCGAGGCCGGCCCUUCCUGGAGCCGAGACGCCAUGUCACUAUCUGCUGUUGUUCGGAUGGGCCGAGGGGCGGGGGCUGGCUGGGGGCUCACCCAUGGGGGGUUUGAUGAAGGCCCGUCCUGCACCCGUCAGCGCGUCUGCCCACGGCUGCCUGAGAGGCCAGGGGAUUCGGAGGGAGGGGAAGGGCCACCGUCUUCAAAUUCCUGUGCAGCUCUCAACAGACAUCUCUGCACCCACAACAAACACCCCUCGGAAGGGGCUCACCUGUCGGGGAAACGCUAAUUGAACCCACCGUGAGCUGGUGCUGCAAACCCACGAGGGCAGGUCCCACGUGGGGCCAGGAGGCGGAGGCUGGAACCCCCAUCCCUGCCCGGCAGGAUGGGAAAAGCAGCCUCUGUUCCCCUAAAGAGCAAACACUGAGCCACCGUACGACCCAGUCACGGGAGGCGUGUGGUUCCACGUGUGUGACACGUCCAGAACGGCUUCGUCCACGGACGGGAAGGGGGCUCGCGGGCACCGGAGCCUUGGGGGGGGGCGUGACAGCUGAUGGGGACGGGGCUUCUUGUCAUUCCCCAGGCAUUUUGUCCAUAUUUUGUCUUAAAAUCUAUGUACAUCCAGUGCUCGUUAUGAGAUUAGACAGCCGCAGAGAGGACAACGGGAGAGCAGCUGAAACGGCCCCGGCCGGCAAGACCCGCCUUUGGCAUCAGAGGUCUUCCAGGCCGAAUGGGCCUGUAUGCGCUCGUCCUGUCUGGAAGACGAGGGCACCUGCUCACCGGUAUACCGUGUGCAUACCGCACACACGGAACCGGGGUCCCCCAGCAUCCCUCAAGCCGUGGCUAAAAAUUACCAGGUGUCCCAGAAGACCCCUGACCGUUGGGCUUCCUGGACACGUCUCUCUUCCCCUGGGUUUUAGAACGAGCCCUGGAGCCGUUCGUAUCCAUUUCGCCCUGAUCCGGCCCCAGGCUCAACCAGAAAGCAUUUAAACACGGAGUUGCGCAGAGGAGGAGACGACAUCCGGCCGUCAGCCCGGAGGUGACCACGGCUGGAGUUUCGAGUCUUAUCACCUGGAGCGGGGUUUUAAACCUGCUCUUUGUAGCUUUACUCUGCUUCCUCGUAAGAGGGCCCUCCGUGCCCCCUUAGGCCCAUUUGGUGUCCUGAAACUUCCUGGAGGAUCUUAAAAUUCCCUCUGAAACAUCAUUUUUUAAAGGAAAUGGUGGCAAAAUACACAUACUGUGGAAUGUGUCCCUUUAACAGUUCCGCAAGCACACAGCUCAGGGGCACCAAGCACACGUGCACUGUCCCACAGCCUUCCCCGCCGUCUGUCUCCAGAACCUUCCGUCUCCCCACACGGAGGCUCUGAAAACACCAUCUUUAACCUGGUUUCUGACAGCCGCACCUCUUCCUUCUGGUUCACCUGCCACGUGGGAGCCCAGGGCCGUGGCUGCCACAUGCCCUCGUCUCGCUGGAGGCGCACCUCCUGCCCGAGCCCCUCACACUCGCCACCUGACCUGGCUUCUCUGCGUGCGCUCACGACUUGCUGGGGGCCUCAGGCAGUGGCCAGCCCUGAACCUGGGCGCCGGUCAGUGAACACACGUUUCUGGCUGGCCCCAGCCCCACAUUCCACAGGGGCCAUCCCCAGCACAGACGGCCUGGGCCCUGCCACCUGUCUGGUCCUUGGCCCCUCCCUCCAGCCAUCCCGACAGCCAAGAGCCUUCCUAUCUGAACAGCAAAGCUCAGCCAACAAGGAGAAAAACCCAGAAGGACUGAGGUGACAGUCUUUCUUUCCCUAAAACCCAACGUCCUUAUUUUUUUAAAGAAAGCUAAAUUUUGCCUCCCACCCCAAGCUUCUGUGUCCAGCCAACAGGGUUCAAAUUCCCAGACGUUCUCCUGGCAGAAAAUUCUAGACUCAGGUGGGCAGGUGCAGGCCCCGUCAUUCAGCUUCUGUCCCCUCCUGUUUUCUCGGCGACUUCCUUUUUGCUGAAGAUAAAAUAGGUCCCAACAAUACAAACGAACAGCCUGAGACGUUCGUGUUUAUCUCCAAAGCACAGCUUCUGGCCUCCGGAAUGUUCUUGUGUCAUUUCCAGAUAUUGUGUGGGUUCCGGAAGAGCCCAUGGACAGAGCUGGGACGCAACCAGACCAAGGCUCCAGAGACAAGAUUUUUAAAAUGCCCGUGUUUCUCCAACACCCUGCAGAGUUCAUGGUUAUUUCUUCCUGUGACACUUGUCUCUGGAACCUUCCAUGGGGGUUUGUUUACACCCCAGACGGUGCGGAGUUCAAACCGCGAGGACCUCCCGCCCAGACCCCCGAACUCCCCUGACGAGGACGCCCCCUUGCUCACGGUGCUCAGCCUUGCCCGCGAUCAUUUCUAAUCAAGGACUCGCAGCGGGAAUGGAAGGGGGCCAGAACGAGGGUUUGGGCCAUUUUGAUUGCUUUGUCGUUAAUAAUUUUCUUUGUUCCUGGGCAUGGAGCACAGAGAGGCUGGAGGGAGCCUGGGUGGGCCCUGGAGUCCCCACAGGAGGGAAACCGGCCCACAUGCCUGGCAUUCCUCCUCUCCUUCCCACAUUGUUUGUUUGUUUGUUUUAAAUUAGAGGGCCAGGAAUUCCUUUUCCUUCCCGAUUCUGCUGGGACUUUGUGACAGUCUUAGAACCAGCGCCUGGCCAGGGCACAGAACAUUCCAGCACCCUCCAGGCUACACCCCCACCCCCAGACACCCACACAGAGGCUUAUCUUUCCUUGGGGUGCGUGCAGCUAGCCACAAGCCCCCAGGCCUGCAAGUGCACCCUGGCCACGCGGGACCCACGCCCCACCAGCCCUGCUGUGUAUAGUGGCUACAGCUUGCAGGCCAGGCUGAGCUCUGGCGGACAUUGGGGCCUGGGUCCAGGGGAGGGGACACCGCGUGGAUGCCUGUGCCCGCAUCCAGCCUCCCUGGCAAGGAAACUGAGGCAGGUGCUGGACUCACUCCCUGAGCGUCUCGCACACACGCCAGUUGUGUCUUUCCUCAAUGUCCACUUUGUUCAGUCGUAAAGCAAGGUUAACAUCAUCGUUUUUUCUUACAGACUUUAUUUAUUUGACAGAGAGGGACAGAGCACAGGCAGGGGAGCAGCAGAGGGAGAAGCAGGCCCCGCUGAGCAGGGAGCCGGACGCGGGGCUGGAACCCAGGACCCUGGAUCAUGACCCGAGGGGAAGCAGACGCAUCACAGGCUGAGCCCCCCAGGUGCCCCAGGUUCACCCAGGCGCCCCGAGGUCAACGUCAUGGUGAAGCAGCUUCAGGAUUCCAAACUCAGGGACAUUUUGUGGCGCAUUUCACACAGGGCACAGCACCAGACAAAGUCGCACAACGAACAGGAUAGCACAGGGGAGGAAGGGGGCGAACCAGACACGAAGUCCUUCCACCAGUGCGCGGGCGAGGGCGGCCGGGUCGGGCCGGGUCAGCUGUGUCUGCUCUGCUCCGAGGCUGGUGGGCAGAGGCUUCUCGGAUGCGGUCGGACGGGGACGGGGAGGGGUCAGCAUGGAGAGUCUGAGAGUGUGUGGCAAAGCCUCCCCUUUUGAAGGGAUUGGAUCAGUCUUGGGCCUUUGCCAGCCUGGCUGGUUAUCAGUCUGUGUGUUCUCGGCCGCGGUGCCCUCGGCUGCUGGCAUCCCUGCCUGGCAUGAGUGACCCCGUCGUGCCCUCUACACGCCGUCCUGAGGUCCCCGGCGGGUGCCACCGAGCCCAGUAGCCUCCAACGCCUGUCACUGAGCGUCCCAGGGCCCAGCACAGGAGUUCAGAUUUCAGGGGCCAGGUCCUCGGGGAACCCUUGACCUCGGGGUGCUGCUGUUGGACUGCGCAGGUGCGCAAGCCCCGGCCGUGUGACCCUGACCUCCUCCGGGCAGGUAACACCGUCAGGGCUCCACGCAAGCCCGCAAAACUCAGUCAGGCUUGUUGGGAUGAGCUUGUUCUUGGGAAACUGGAGAAUGGGGCCUCUGUCCGCGCCUGUGGCCCCUCUGUCAGCCCGGCCCAGAGCUGCACACCGGCGGUCCCAGCGAGUGACCAUCAGCAUGGCCCAAUCGAGGAGGAAGGGUGCUCCGGGCAGGCUUCCUGUGUUCUCCUAAGUUGGGGGGAAGUUCGCAUAAUGUAGAAUUAACCAUUUUAAGUGAACAGUCCAGUCGCAUGCGGUACCUUGACUGUAUCGUGCAACCCACGCCUCUAUCUAGCUCCGAAACGUUCCUUCUCCCCAAAAGCAACCCCGCCCGCAUUAGCCAUCACUCCCUACCUCCCCCAGACCCCCCCGCCCCAUGAGCCCCCUCCCUGUCCGUGGAGGAGCCUGUUCUGGACGUGUCACACACGUGGACUCACGCCGCGGGGCCUUCUGCGUCUGGUCUCCCUGAGCGUCGGGGGCUGGGGUCCGUCCUUGCUCCUGUCCGCGGUCGAGGGUCACUCCUGCGUGUGGGUGGACACGCGUGUGUGUCGUCCAGCGUUGGAUGGGCCCUGGGGUGUCUGCGCCCCUGUGGCUGCCGUGAACGGUCACACGCUAGUGUUGGCACACGCGUCUCCACCAGUGUCCACCAGGGACAGGGGCGACUCUCCCUGCCUGAGCUGACGGAGGAGCACCUGGCUCACCGUCUCACUGUCCUUCCCACCAGUGACCAGCUGCCCCUGCCGCGGAUGCCGUGGAUGACCCUGGCCGUGGGCCUCUGGCUGGGGCAGAGUCGGGGCGACCCUGCACGUGUUAGACCACGUGCUGUACCUUCAUUACUUGAGAGCCUGGUGCCCGGGAGGGAAAUAGGGAAAGUUGGACAAGUUGGGGCAGCCCCACGGCUUCAUUGCAGCUGGGGAAACUGAGGCUGCGGGUCAGAGUCAGCCACUUGCUCCUCAGAGGUGGCAGGAUUCCAAGCAACAGAUGCGCCACCCUGACUUCCAGCCGCGUUCAGUCCAGGCACAGCGGGAGCAGGGGGCCGCGGGACCUGCCCUGGUGGCAUGGAUUCAGAAUUCAAUGAGUGGCCGGAGCUCUGAACAGGUGAGUGACGCCCACGCACAAACCCACACAUGUUUAUAUCAGCUUCGUUCGUCUCCGGGAGCAAGCGAGAUGCCCUUCAGCGGGUGAGCACUGGACACGAGCCACGGACCCAGGCAGACACGUCCCUAAGUGAGAGUGGCCGGGCGGAGAAGGCCACACACCCCGUGGUUCCAAGUCUAGGACGUUCUGGAAAAGGCAGAACGGCGGAGGCGGUAAAAAGGCCUGCGGUGGCCGGGGUGGGGGGCGCUGAUGGGGCCGAGCACGGAGGGUCGGUAGGGCCGGAACGACUCGGUGCCACGCUGUGAUGGCGGAUCGGUGUCCGUGACAUUCGUCCAAACCCACAGGGCGUGCGGCACCGACAGCCCCGGUGUCACCUGCGGCCUGUCGGUAAUAAUGUCCCAGUGUCGGUGUGUCAGCUGUCACGAACGUACCAGCCAUUUAAAAAGAAGAAGAAAAAGGAAAUCCGAUGAUCUGUGGCACCGUGGGCGGCCAUGGAGGGCGUCAUGCUCCGAGAGCUGAGUCCGACGGAGACAGUCCAAGACCCCACUUGCCCUUCGGCCUACGAGGACCAGGGACGAGAGGGUGGUCUCCCGAGACAUUCCAUCGGAGGGUGCAAGCCCUCAGCCCCAAGGUGCAUGGCUUCCGGGGACUCUGCACCUGACCUUCGCGGGGUGCUCUCGCGGCGCCCAAGGUACCCACACGACGUGUGGUUCACUAGCUUGACCGUGCUGACCCGUCCCCACGAUGCGCAAAGGUCAGACGUGGUAGUUUGCACCUUGAACACAUCGGCUCUUGCCUGUCGGUCAUACCUCAACAACGCUGGGGGACCGCGUGGAACCAAACGCGUUUGCUCCUGGAGAGGAGGAUAGAGGGCCUUGUGUGAAAUGCAUAAUCCCUCUAGUCCCAUCCACCUGGAUGUAAGUGGUGGGUAUCCAUCCUUCCUGGUGGCUGAGGAAUAUUGCAUUGUAUAUAUGGACCACAUCAUCUUUAUCCAUUCCUGUCGGCGGACAUCUCGGCUCCUUCCACCGUGUGGCUACUGUGGACAUCGCUGCUGUGAACAUGGGGUGCACGUGCCCCUUCGGGUCACUGCAUCUGUAUCUUUGGGGUAAACCCCCAGUAGUGCAGUUGCUGGGUCAUAGGGUCGCUCUGCUGCUAACGUCCUGAGGACCCUCCACGCCGUUCUCCGGAGCGGCUGCGCCAGCUCGUGUUCCCGCCAACUGGGUAGGAGGUCCCCCUUUCUGCACAUCCUCACCCACAUCCGUCGUUUCCUGACUUGCUGAUUUUGGCCGUUCUGACUGGUGUGAGGUGGGACCUCAGUGUGGUCUUGAUUGUGUUUCCCUGAGCUGAGUGAUGUGGAGCAUUUCUUCAUGUGUCAAACAGACAUUUUUUAUCAUACCCUUCUAUGUUGUAUAAAUUAAUUUGUAUAAAAACUAGUAAAGAUAUUAA